RNAcentral lists this ribosomal RNA (1443 nucleotides) under uncultured organism. RNAcentral describes it as "SSU rRNA". It matches the Rfam family "Bacterial small subunit ribosomal RNA". The record is from RNAcentral.
AGCUACAGGCUUAACACAUGCAAGUCGAGGGGCAGCAUGGUCUUAGCUUGCUAAGGCCGAUGGCGACCGGCGCACGGGUGAGUAACACGUAUCCAACCUGCCGUCUACUCUUGGACAGCCUUCUGAAAGGAAGAUUAAUACAAGAUGGCAUCAUGAGUCCGCAUGUUCACAUGAUUAAAGGUAUUCCGGUAGACGAUGGGGAUGCGUUCCAUUAGAUAGUAGGCGGGGUAACGGCCCACCUAGUCUUCGAUGGAUAGGGGUUCUGAGAGGAAGGUCCCCCACAUUGGAACUGAGACACGGUCCAAACUCCUACGGGAGGCAGCAGUGAGGAAUAUUGGUCAAUGGGCGAGAGCCUGAACCAGCCAAGUAGCGUGAAGGAUGACUGCCCUAUGGGUUGUAAACUUCUUUUAUAAAGGAAUAAAGUCGGGUAUGGAUACCCGUUUGCAUGUACUUUAUGAAUAAGGAUCGGCUAACUCCGUGCCAGCAGCCGCGGUAAUACGGAGGAUCCGAGCGUUAUCCGGAUUUAUUGGGUUUAAAGGGAGCGUAGAUGGAUGUUUAAGUCAGUUGUGAAAGUUUGCGGCUCAACCGUAAAAUUGCAGUUGAUACUGGAUAUCUUGAGUGCAGUUGAGGCAGGCGGAAUUCGUGGUGUAGCGGUGAAAUGCUUAGAUAUCACGAAGAACUCCGAUUGCGAAGGCAGCCUGCUAAGCUGCAACUGACAUUGAGGCUCGAAAGUGUGGGUAUCAAACAGGAUUAGAUACCCUGGUAGUCCACACGGUAAACGAUGAAUACUCGCUGUUUGCGAUAUACAGCAAGCGGCCAAGCGAAAGCGUUAAGUAUUCCACCUGGGGAGUACGCCGGCAACGGUGAAACUCAAAGGAAUUGACGGGGGCCCGCACAAGCGGAGGAACAUGUGGUUUAAUUCGAUGAUACGCGAGGAACCUUACCCGGGCUUAAAUUGCAGAUGAAUUACGGUGAAAGCCGUAAGCCGCAAGGCAUCUGUGAAGGUGCUGCAUGGUUGUCGUCAGCUCGUGCCGUGAGGUGUCGGCUUAAGUGCCAUAACGAGCGCAACCCUUGUUGUCAGUUACUAACAGGUUCCGCUGAGGACUCUGACAAGACUGCCAUCGUAAGAUGUGAGGAAGGUGGGGAUGACGUCAAAUCAGCACGGCCCUUACGUCCGGGGCUACACACGUGUUACAAUGGGGGGUACAGAGGGCCGCUACCACGCGAGUGGAUGCCAAUCCCCAAAACCUCUCUCAGUUCGGACUGGAGUCUGCAACCCGACUCCACGAAGCUGGAUUCGCUAGUAAUCGCGCAUCAGCCACGGCGCGGUGAAUACGUUCCCGGGCCUUGUACACACCGCCCGUCAAGCCAUGGGAGCCGGGGGUACCUGAAGUGCGUAACCGCGAGGAGCGCCCUAGGGUAAAACUGGUGACUGGGGCUAAG